GACGAACGCUGGCGGCGUGCCUAAUACAUGCAAGUAGAACGCACAGUUUAUACCGUAGCUUGCUACACCAUAGACUGUGAGUUGCGAACGGGUGAGUAACGCGUAGGUAACCUGCCUGGUAGCGGGGGAUAACUAUUGGAAACGAUAGCUAAUACCGCAUAAUAUUGAUUAUUGCAUGAUAAUUAAUUGAAAGGUGCAAUUGCACCACUACCAGAUGGACCUGCGUUGUAUUAGCUAGUAGGUGAGGUAACGGCUCACCUAGGCGACGAUACAUAGCCGACCUGAGAGGGUGAUCGGCCACACUGGGACUGAGACACGGCCCAGACUCCUACGGGAGGCAGCAGUAGGGAAUCUUCGGCAAUGGACGAAAGUCUGACCGAGCAACGCCGCGUGAGUGAAGAAGGUUUUCGGAUCGUAAAGCUCUGUUGUAAGAGAAGAACGGGUGUGAGAGUGGAAAGUUCACACUGUGACGGUAUCUUACCAGAAGGGGACGGCUAACUACGUG
Molecule: ribosomal RNA, 505 nt
Filed under: uncultured bacterium
Lineage: Bacteria
Description: partial 16S ribosomal RNA
Rfam family: Bacterial small subunit ribosomal RNA
Source: RNAcentral